GACGUAGGGCGCGAGCGUUGUCCGGAUUUAUUGGGCGUAAAGAGCUCGUAGGCGGCUUAGUAAGUCGGGUGUGAAAACCCCAGGCUCAACCUGGGGACGCCACCCGAUACUGCUAUAGCUAGAGUCCAGUAGGGGAGUGUGGAAUUCCCAGUGUAGCGGUGAAAUGCGCAGAUAUUGGGAGGAACACCAGCGGCGAAGGCGGCACUCUGGGCUGGUACUGACGCUGAGGAGCGAAAGCGUGGGUAGCGAACAGG
Molecule: ribosomal RNA, 254 nt
Filed under: uncultured bacterium
Lineage: Bacteria
Description: partial 16S ribosomal RNA
Rfam family: Bacterial small subunit ribosomal RNA
Source: RNAcentral